Molecule: long non-coding RNA, 360 nt
Filed under: Vitis vinifera (wine grape)
Lineage: Eukaryota; Viridiplantae; Streptophyta; Magnoliopsida; Vitales; Vitaceae
Description: long non-coding RNA (VVIN_LNC001764)
Source: RNAcentral
CUUUUGCAGCCUUCAGAUCCGGUGAGCCCUGUUUGACAGAUGCAGAGUCUGGUUUAAGGACUAAAAGUCCAUAUCCUUUACAGUUAUAUUGAAAUUUGUUGUCUUUAAACUCACCUCUAGCCCAACACAGAAGGAAUGGAGCUGUGCUCCCCACUGCUUAGCAGCCUUUGUGCCUGCUAAGUGGCGAGCGGUAAUAGAGGCAACUAAGGAUGAAUCCAGACCUCCUGACAGCAGAACCCCAAAAGGAACAUCGGUCAUUAACCUCUUGAUCACGGCCUGCAUUUUGCAACCAAGACGUACAAUGAAACAAUUUUCUGACCAGUUGGUUUACGAAUUAAAAGGGUUAGGUUCCAUGAAACU